This 460-nucleotide ribosomal RNA is filed under the name uncultured bacterium. Its description in RNAcentral is "partial 16S ribosomal RNA". It matches the Rfam family "Bacterial small subunit ribosomal RNA", at positions 338 to 795 of the family's 1533-position model. The record is from RNAcentral.
CCUACGGGUGGCUGCAGUGAGGAAUAUUGGUCAAUGGACGAGAGUCUGAACCAGCCAAGUAGCGUGCAGGAUGACUGCCCUCUGGGUUGUAAACUUCUUUUAUAUGGGAAUUAAAUGUUCCAUGUGUGGGAUUUUGUCUGUAUCAUUUGAAUACAGCUCGGCUAACUCCGUGCCAGCAGCCGCGGUUAUACGGAGGCUCCGAGCGUUAUCCGGAUUUAUUGGGUUUAAAGGGAGCGUAGGUGGAUUGUUAAGUCAGUUGUGAAAGUUUGCGGCUCAACCGUAAAAUUGCAGUUGAAACUGGCAGUCUAGAGUACAGUAGAGGUGGGCGGAAUUCGUGGUGUAGCGGUGAAAUGCGUAGAUAUCACGAAGAACUCCGAUUGCGAAGGCAGCUCACUGGACUGCAACUGACACUGAGGCGCGAAAGUGUGGGUAGCAAACAGGAUUAGAUACCCGAGUAGUC